This 463-nucleotide ribosomal RNA is filed under the name marine sediment bacterium ISA-1179. RNAcentral describes it as "bacterial SSU rRNA". It matches the Rfam family "Bacterial small subunit ribosomal RNA", at positions 37 to 489 of the family's 1533-position model. The record is from RNAcentral.
UGGCGGCAGGCUUAACACAUGCAAGUCGAGCGGUAACAGAGAGUAGCUUGCUACUUUGCUGACGAGCGGCGGACGGGUGAGUAACGCGUAGAAAUCUGCCUGGUAGUGGGGGAUAGCCCAGAGAAAUUUGGAUUAAUACCGCAUACGCCCUACGGGGGAAAGCAGGGGACCUUCGGGCCUUGCGCUAUCAGAUGAGUCUGCGUCGGAUUAGCUUGUUGGUGAGGUAAUGGCUCACCAAGGCGACGAUCCGUAGCUGGUCUGAGAGGAUGAUCAGCCACACUGGGACUGAGACACGGCCCAGACUCCUACGGGAGGCAGCAGUGGGGAAUAUUGCACAAUGGGCGAAAGCCUGAUGCAGCCAUGCCGCGUGUGUGAAGAAGGCCUUAGGGUUGUAAAGCACUUUCAGCAGUGAGGAAAGGUUGUAGCUUAAUACGCUAUAGCUGUGACGUUAACUGCAGAAGAA